RNAcentral lists this ribosomal RNA (433 nucleotides) under uncultured bacterium. Its description in RNAcentral is "partial 16S ribosomal RNA". It matches the Rfam family "Bacterial small subunit ribosomal RNA", at positions 29 to 507 of the family's 1533-position model. The record is from RNAcentral.
AACGAACGCUGGCGGCAUGCUUAACACAUGCAAGUCGAACGAGACCUUCGGGUUUAGUGGCGCACGUGUGCGUAACGCGUGGUAACCUGCCCUUAGGUUCCGAAUAACUCCCCGAAAGGGGUGCUAAUACCGGUUAAUGUCUUCGCACCAAAGAUUUAUCGCCUUUGGAUGGGCCCGCGUUGGAUUGGCUAGUUGGUAGGGUAAAAGCCUACCAAGGCGACGAUCCAUAGCUGGUCUGAGAGGAUGAUCAGCCACACUGGGACUGAGACACGGCCCAGACUCGGACGGGAGGCAGCAGUGGGGAAUAUUGGACGAGGGGCGAAAGCCUGAUCAAGCAAUGCCGGGUGAGAGAUGAAGGCCUUAGGGUUGUAAAGCUGUUUUACCCGGGAUGAUAAUGACAGUACCGGGAGAAUAAGCACCGGCUAACUACGUG